This is a non-coding RNA of Arachis ipaensis, 582 nucleotides long. The record is from RefSeq and is a predicted model, not a curated record. Lineage: Eukaryota; Viridiplantae; Streptophyta; Magnoliopsida; Fabales; Fabaceae.
UGAUCGGAACCACUAAAGAUUUUCAGGUGGCCGAUUAGUGGCCAGCCACCGGCCGCCUCCGGCGGUGGUUGUGGCUUGCAAGCAUCGUCGUCACGUGCAGUUUUGAUGAAGUACAAGUAGUAUGAUAUGAUUAGUAUACCAACAACUGCUGCUGCUACUGCUUCUUCAUACUCAAUCGUCAUCCUGAUUCAUAAGCUGCCAUAGAUAAAUCAGAUAGACACUAAUGUAUACUGUGUAUACCAAGUGAUGCGUACCACACCAUAAUCGGCAUGGAGGUUCAGUGGCAGACUGACCUUAAAAAUCGGAACCGAGCAGAACUGAACAAACAAACUUUAUAAAUUAUCUCCGAAACAGAAUACGCCACUCAAUCACGUCUCUUCACAAGAUAUCCAUAACGGCACUUGACCAGGAAUAUCGGAACUAACAGGAGCUCACCAGCAAACUCGAGGAGCCUAUAAAUCUUACCCCUUGAUUCAGAAAGGGGCAGGUUCCACAUUCACUUCUAGUUAUUUACUCUUUAUUCAUUAAUUAUUCUCCCACUUACUUGAGCGUCGGAGUGCUUUGUGCAGGUGCUCCCGCUGC